This 253-nucleotide ribosomal RNA is filed under the name uncultured bacterium. Its description in RNAcentral is "partial 16S ribosomal RNA". It matches the Rfam family "Bacterial small subunit ribosomal RNA", at positions 524 to 776 of the family's 1533-position model. The record is from RNAcentral.
UACGUAGGGUGCAAGCGUUAUCCGGAUUCACUGGGUUUAAAGGGCGCGUAGGCGGCUUGGCAAGUGGUUGGUGAAAUCCCUCGGCUUAACCGAGGAACUGCCGUCCAAACUGCUUCGCUUGAGACCGGGAGAGGUGAGUGGAAUUCACAGUGUAGCGGUGAAAUGCGUAGAGAUCGGGAGGAACACCGGUGGCGAAGGCGCACACCUGGCCCGAUACUGACGCUGAGGCGCGAAAGCUAGGGGAGCAAACGGG